CAGAAUCAUAGCUUUUUUUUUUUUUUAAUCUUUCUAAUUCUUGCUUAUUGCCUAGGUCUUAGUGGAGCAGACAUAUCAGCUAGAUGAAUUUCUUGAUGGAAAAGUGUGUUCAGCUAUUACAGUGAGUGCGGGUGGAAGUGAGUUUUCUGGGUGAGGUCUCUGUUGAAGGCAUGCUGUUACCACCUAGUGUGGGAUGGUACAAGUACACCUGGUACAAGAGGUACUGCCUUGUGCACAUGGCCGUCUCCUCAGUUUGAUCAUGCUCAGGUGUGUUUUUAAGAAGAGUUUUGACCAUGAGAAAGUCCACAUGUUAGUCAAUUUUUACUAAUCCCACCGAAGAAAAUGAAGCCGCACUUCAGCUUUGCCGAUCCUUUUCCCACCACCGUUGGCUGAAUGAGAAAUGGUCGUGU
Molecule: long non-coding RNA, 410 nt
Filed under: Phasianus colchicus (ring-necked pheasant)
Lineage: Eukaryota; Metazoa; Chordata; Aves; Galliformes; Phasianidae
Description: lncRNA (ENSPCLG00000003522.1)
Source: RNAcentral